GGAUAUGGACUUCCUUCUCAUGCACAAGACUUCUCACGCCCCAAAAUUUUUCUCCCAAAAUCUUCUUCUUGCACACCCCACUCUUCUCCUCCUUUUAUAACAACGUCAAACGUCUUAUCCAAAAGAAAGGAUAAAGAUGAGUAAUUACACAUUUGAAUUCAAAUCAAAUUUUGAAUUCAAAUGGAUACCAACUCAUCCCUUAUCCACUAAAGGUGUGAGGCGUGGCUUAAAUUAUGCAUGGAGUGAUUCAUGAGAAACCUUUUCUCAUGUAAUAAAUGGAGCGU
This 284-nucleotide long non-coding RNA is filed under the name Elaeis guineensis (African oil palm). RNAcentral's name for it is "long non-coding RNA (EGUI_LNC069000)". Lineage: Eukaryota; Viridiplantae; Streptophyta; Magnoliopsida; Arecales; Arecaceae. The record is from RNAcentral.